AGCCUGAUGCAGCCAUGCCGCGUGUAUGAAGAAGGCCUUCGGGUUGUAAAGUACUUUCAGCAGUGAGGAAGGCGGAGUCGUUAAUAGCGGCCUCGUUUGACGUUAGCUGCAGAAGAAGCACCGGCUAACUCCGUGCCAGCAGCCGCGGUAAUACGGAGGGUGCGAGCGUUAAUCGGAAUUACUGGGCGUAAAGCGCAUGCAGGUGGUUUGUUAAGUCAGAUGUGAAAGCCCGGGGCUCAACCUCGGAAUUGCAUUUGAAACUGGCAGACUAGAGUACUGUAGAGGGGGGUAGAAUUUCAGGUGUAGCGGUGAAAUGCGUAGAGAUCUGAAGGAAUACCGGUGGCGAAGGCGGCCCCCUGGACAGAUACUGACACUCAGAUGCGAAAGCGUGGGGAGCAAACAGGAUUAGAUACCCUGGUAGUCCACGCCGUAAACGAUGUCUACUUGGAGGUUGUGGCCUUGAGCCGUGGCUUUCGGAGCUAACGCGUUAAGUAGACCGCCUGG
This 504-nucleotide ribosomal RNA is filed under the name Vibrio sp. HDEN18. Its description in RNAcentral is "bacterial SSU rRNA". It matches the Rfam family "Bacterial small subunit ribosomal RNA", at positions 380 to 876 of the family's 1533-position model. The record is from RNAcentral. Lineage: Bacteria; Pseudomonadati; Pseudomonadota; Gammaproteobacteria; Vibrionales; Vibrionaceae.